RNAcentral lists this ribosomal RNA (253 nucleotides) under uncultured bacterium. RNAcentral describes it as "partial 16S ribosomal RNA". It matches the Rfam family "Bacterial small subunit ribosomal RNA", at positions 524 to 776 of the family's 1533-position model. The record is from RNAcentral.
UACGUAGGGGGCUAGCGUUGUCCGGAAUCAUUGGGCGUAAAGCGCGCGUAGGCGGCCCGGUAAGUCCGCUGUGAAAGUCAAAGGCUCAACCUUUGAAUGUCAGCGGAUACUGCCGGGCUAGAGUCCGGAAGAGGCGAGUGGAACUCCUGGUGUAGCGGUGGAAUGCGCAGAUAUCAGGAGGAACACCAAUAGCGAAGGCAGCUCGCUGGGACGGUAUUGACGCUAAGGCGCGAAAGCGUGGGGAGCAAACAGG